UAAUAGUUAGGCUUUUAUUUGCAUUUAUAUGCUUGUGUGCUUGCAUGCUUAUGUGUUUACGUGCUUAUCUGCUUUCAUUAGGGUUUUGCAUUUAGAAAUUAUGCUUACGUGUUAUGCGAUCUAUGUGUUUUAUGUGUUUACUUCUUUUAAUUAUGUUUUGUAUGAUUCAUUUAGUUAUAAUAAAUGCAUGACGUCACCACACUAGUCCAAUGUUAGUUGUGGCCUUUUCUUCUGAUUUCUCACUAGUACAACGCUAGUGAAGAUUUGUAGAAAUGUGUUAGUCCAAUGCUAGACCCUUUAGGCCGUCCCGCGAUAGAAUCACUUGUUUUGCGUGACAUUCAUCGUAUUUCAUACAUGUUUUUCAUUUUUAGGGUAUUUUCCAAUCUUGCGUGAUA
RNAcentral lists this long non-coding RNA (395 nucleotides) under Coffea arabica (coffee). RNAcentral describes it as "long non-coding RNA (CARA_LNC000523)". The record is from RNAcentral. Lineage: Eukaryota; Viridiplantae; Streptophyta; Magnoliopsida; Gentianales; Rubiaceae.